This 1417-nucleotide ribosomal RNA is filed under the name Klebsiella pneumoniae. RNAcentral describes it as "bacterial LSU rRNA". It matches the Rfam family "Bacterial large subunit ribosomal RNA", at positions 1531 to 2925 of the family's 2925-position model. Lineage: Bacteria; Pseudomonadati; Pseudomonadota; Gammaproteobacteria; Enterobacterales; Enterobacteriaceae. The record is from RNAcentral.
UCCAGGCAAAUCCGGAUAAUCAAGGCUGAGGUGUGAUGACGAGGCACUACGGUGCUGAAGUAACAAAUGCCCUGCUUCCAGGAAAAGCCUCUAAGCAUCAGGUAACAUUAAAUCGUACCCCAAACCGACACAGGUGGUCAGGUAGAGAAUACCAAGGCGCUUGAGAGAACUCGGGUGAAGGAACUAGGCAAAAUGGUGCCGUAACUUCGGGAGAAGGCACGCUGGUGUGUAGGUGAAGCCCCUGCGGGUGGAGCUGAGACCAGUCGAAGAUACCAGCUGGCUGCAACUGUUUAUUAAAAACACAGCACUGUGCAAACACGAAAGUGGACGUAUACGGUGUGACGCCUGCCCGGUGCCGGAAGGUUAAUUGAUGGGGUUAUCCGUAAGGAGAAGCUCUUGAUCGAAGCCCCGGUAAACGGCGGCCGUAACUAUAACGGUCCUAAGGUAGCGAAAUUCCUUGUCGGGUAAGUUCCGACCUGCACGAAUGGCGUAAUGAUGGCCAGGCUGUCUCCACCCGAGACUCAGUGAAAUUGAACUCGCUGUGAAGAUGCAGUGUACCCGCGGCAAGACGGAAAGACCCCGUGAACCUUUACUAUAGCUUGACACUGAACAUUGAGCCUUGAUGUGUAGGAUAGGUGGGAGGCUUUGAAGCGUGGACGCCAGUCUGCGUGGAGCCAACCUUGAAAUACCACCCUUUAAUGUUUGAUGUUCUAACGUUGGCCCCUGACCGGGGUUGCGGACAGUGUCUGGUGGGUAGUUUGACUGGGGCGGUCUCCUCCCAAAGCGUAACGGAGGAGCACGAAGGUUAGCUAAUCCUGGUCGGACAUCAGGAGGUUAGUGCAAUGGCAUAAGCUAGCUUGACUGCGAGCGUGACGGCGCGAGCAGGUGCGAAAGCAGGUCAUAGUGAUCCGGUGGUUCUGAAUGGAAGGGCCAUCGCUCAACGGAUAAAAGGUACUCCGGGGAUAACAGGCUGAUACCGCCCAAGAGUUCAUAUCGACGGCGGUGUUUGGCACCUCGAUGUCGGCUCAUCACAUCCUGGGGCUGAAGUAGGUCCCAAGGGUAUGGCUGUUCGCCAUUUAAAGUGGUACGCGAGCUGGGUUUAGAACGUCGUGAGACAGUUCGGUCCCUAUCUGCCGUGGGCGCUGGAGAAUUGAGGGGGGCUGCUCCUAGUACGAGAGGACCGGAGUGGACGCAUCACUGGUGUUCGGGUUGUCAUGCCAAUGGCACUGCCCGGUAGCUAAAUGCGGAAGAGAUAAGUGCUGAAAGCAUCUAAGCACGAAACUUGCCCCGAGAUGAGUUCUCCCUGAGACUUUAAGUCUCCUGAAGGAACGUUGAAGACGACGACGUUGAUAGGCCGGGUGUGUAAGCGCAGCGAUGCGUUGAGCUAACCGGUACUAAUGAACCGUGAGGCUUAACC